GCUCUCCCUCAGUUGAUGGUUUCGCCGUGGAAGCUCUUCGAACGAAGCUGAUAUUGCUAGUCUGCAAGCGUAUUUCGUCUGAAGAGCGAGAAACGUGGACGACGCCGGCUUCAUUUACUUUUGAACUAGCAUUUAGAUUGUACUAUUCUUUAAUACAGCCCUGCACUUUUUUAAAAAAACUGCGUAAAUGAAUAAAAAGCAAAAGAAACUUGUGGUAAAGCCUAAACAUGUGUUACAGGUAGUCGUGGGGACCCUGCUGGUCCAGCAAAUGCUGCCCUCUCAAACGUUUAUACUUCUCGGAUGCAGGUAGCAAAAUCAGCCAAACCCUACCCCAAAAUGAAGUUUUUAACAAUAAAUCUAUUAUGUAACUUUUGUCCUUGUCCAAUUUCUGUCAAGGGAGGUGUGUACACAUGACAAGCAGCAUCUGAAAUUCUAAAAUGAAUUUAAACAGUUGUUUUACAAUGUGGAUGCAAAACAUUUGUUUACUAUUGGCAUUAUAGUACAAACAAUAACACACUGGGCCAUAGCUAGUACUUCAAGCAAAAGACCAAUUCAGUGUCAUUUUAACAUUUGGCAGCAGUAACAGUAGAAAUGAAGGUCAGCCUGAGUAGUUCUGCUAUAUAAGGAUGUCAAAUGAAAAUUUAUUUGCACAAUUACAGCACGGCUUUAUGGAAACAUUGUAGUUUUGUCCUGGAUCUAUUAGAGUCCAAAGCUACCUUGGUUAUACUACUGAAAUGACUAAUUCAACAAAUUAUACUAUGCGCUAUGAAUAUUAUCUGGAUUACUUUGAUCUACCUCCAGUUGAUGCAAGUAAACUGACAGCCUACAGAUAUUCAAUUGUCAUAAGUUUUUGGAUUGGACUUGUUUCUUUUGUGGCAUUUCUCUUCUUUAUUUUGUUCUACAUGUCUCGAUCUGGUACAACAUCCAUGAAAAUACAGCCUAUCUCAUAACCUAUCUCACCUUGACAACCUCUCAGAAAGACUAGAGGAUCAAAGAAGUUUCCAUGGAAUUAUUCAGAAACACUUCAUCAAAAUCUUGUUAACAAUGACACUGUACGAAUAUCUGUACAUAACCAAGGAGAAGAAAUUGAACGGCUCUGUUCAAGUAAUAGGUUACCAUGUCACCAUACAGACAAUUCAGUGUAAAACCUUCUCAUAAGUGAAAUAUGAAGCCCACUACAUAUUAUAAUAUAAUGUGCUAGGG
This is a non-coding RNA of Notechis scutatus (mainland tiger snake), 1203 nucleotides long. The record is from RefSeq and is a predicted model, not a curated record. Lineage: Eukaryota; Metazoa; Chordata; Lepidosauria; Squamata; Elapidae.